UGUCUUCCUGGUACUACACAUGAAGAUGUCCCGCUCUCCCCUGCUCAAGGAGAGAGUGCCUGACCUGAGCUGGGCCCAUCAGAUCCAGUACUUACCUGGAAUACGAAAAAGAUGGAGAGAGUGACCAAAGAUUACAAAAAUCUCUGAAGCUUAUCUACUUGAGAGAGAGUCCCUGAAGAUACUGGCCUCUCAUUCCUGCUAUGUAUAUCCAAUGUGACUGAACUCUGAAUAAAAUAUACAAGUUAUAACAAUGUAGCAAUUGACCCAGCAAACGAGGACACAAACGUGUUGGAGGGAUUUGAGUUUGAUGUCUUGCAUACAAUGUGAUCCCACUGUAUGACUACACAAAUGUUGGCAAAAGUGAGUUCAGAGGAAAUGGUAGGCAAGUACUUCCCAGUUUUGGCCAGAAGAUGGAGAAAAAAGAAUUCUCAAAAAAUGUUAAAGGAUUUCCUUUUUAUCACUGGUUUUGAUGGAUUUGAUUAAGGCGUUCCUUGGUGAAGUUUUCUUCAUGUUUCUUGUUCUUAGAAUAAUCAUAUUUCUGUAAUAUUUGAAGUUUAUGGUUUCCAUGGAGCUUCUAAAUCUUUCAUCCAGUAUGUUUUAAAUAUCUUUGUCUCUCUUCUCCACUACACGCCCUUCAGGGAUUCCAUUUAGCCCUA
This 656-nucleotide long non-coding RNA is filed under the name Homo sapiens (human). RNAcentral describes it as "long intergenic non-protein coding RNA 1719". The record is from RNAcentral. Lineage: Eukaryota; Metazoa; Chordata; Mammalia; Primates; Hominidae.